This 529-nucleotide long non-coding RNA is filed under the name Papio anubis (olive baboon). RNAcentral describes it as "lncRNA (ENSPANG00000039603.1)". The record is from RNAcentral. Lineage: Eukaryota; Metazoa; Chordata; Mammalia; Primates; Cercopithecidae.
AUGUAUUUGUUGUUGUUAUUGGAACCAGGCAGGACUACUAUUUGUUGGCUGAGUGGAAUAUUGUUGUUGUUAUUGGAGACAGGCAGGAGUAUUGUUGUUGUUAUUGGAGACAGGAGUAUUGUUGUUGUUGUUAUUGGAGACAGGCAGGAGUAUUGUUGUUGUUGUUAUUGGAGACAGGCAGGAGUAUUAUUGUUGUUAUUAUUGGAGACAGGCAGGAGUAUUGUUGUUGUUGUUGUUAUUGGAGACAGGCAGGAGUGUUGUUGUUGUUGUUGUGAUUGGAGACAGGCAGGAGUGUUGUUGUUGUUGUGGAAUAGGCAGGGUAUUGUUGUUGUUGUUGGAGACAGGCAGGAGUAUUGUUGUUGUUGUUAUUGGAGACAGGAGUAUUAUUGUUGUUGUUAUAGGAGACAGGCAGGAGUAUUGUUGUUGUUGUUGGAGGCAGAGUGUGCUGCUGUUUGUGGAACCAGGGCAGGACUACUGUUGUUGUGGAGACAGGAGUAUUGUUGUUUGUUGUUGGAGACCAGCUAGGAAA